GACGAACGCUGGCGGCGUGCCUAAUACAUGCAAGUUGAGCGAUGAAGAUUGGUGCUUGCACCAAUUUGAAGAGCAGCGAACGGGUGAGUAACGCGUGGGGAAUCUGCCUUUGAGCGGGGGACAACAUUUGGAAACGAAUGCUAAUACCGCAUAACAACUUUAAACAUAAGUUUUAAGUUUGAAAGAUGCAAUUGCAUCACUCAAAGAUGAUCCCGCGUUGUAUUAGCUAGUUGGUGAGGUAAAGGCUCACCAAGGCGAUGAUACAUAGCCGACCUGAGAGGGUGAUCGGCCACAUUGGGACUGAGACACGGCCCAAACUCCUACGGGAGGCAGCAGUAGGGAAUCUUCGGCAAUGGACGAAAGUCUGACCGAGCAACGCCACGUGAGUGAAGAAGGUUUUCGGAUCGUAAAACUCUGUUGGUAGAGAAGAACGUUGGUGAGAGUGGAAAGCUCAUCAAGUGACGGUAACUACCCAGAAAGGGACGGCUAACUACGUG
This 497-nucleotide ribosomal RNA is filed under the name uncultured bacterium. Its description in RNAcentral is "partial 16S ribosomal RNA". It matches the Rfam family "Bacterial small subunit ribosomal RNA", at positions 28 to 507 of the family's 1533-position model. The record is from RNAcentral.